CUCUCACUCACCCUUAUACACACAACCUAACUGCUGCAAUUACUAAAAUGAGUCAUGAAUGCCACAGGUCAUGACACCCCAACUGGAAGCUUCAGUCAAAGUUUAUGAUUUAAUAUCAGUUUAAUAUCAAACUCAAGGAGAAGCAGACGGACAUAUGGAGCGUCACAAGCCACUGAGCCCAAGAGAAGUGGAGAUGAAAAAAUGGACAGAAAGAGAGAAAGGGUGUGUGCGUGAGAGAAGUGUAAGAGAAAGAUUCAUCCAUAAAGCACUUGAGCAAUAAGAAUCUGUUGAAAUGGAACAGCUGUACGGUGUAACAGGAGAGCUGUGGAACGAAAGGAGAGGAGGUCCACAGACAUGCCAAGAUUUCAUUAACUGCCACAGCGGUCUGUAUUCAGUCAUGCUGGUGUUGUAAAGCCCUGCUUCAGUUUUCACCUCUAAAUGCAACAAGUUCAAUAAACUGCUCUCACACCUUAUUAACAUGACACAUGGGUGAUAGGAUGCAUUUAGUGGCUUAGACUUUAUAAAUUGUGUGUUUAGUGGUCUGACAGAGUUGGUAAUAAUCAUUAUCAACCAAUAAUAUCAUAUACCUAACAUGCUGUCAUAAAAAACAAAUCAAGUAUUAUUGCAUUCUGUUGAAUGUUCUCUUUGUUUUGUUUCCUGAAUGGUGUUUUAUGUUGUCUCUCAGGGAAAUACACACUGAGGUCACAAUGAAAGAGACAAAGACUUGUUUUAAAGGGAUAGUUACACAAAAAUGAAAAUUAUAUUGUAAUUUACUUACCCUCGUGUUGUAAAAUUAUACAGGUUUGGAAUGAGAUGAGGGUGAUAAAUGAUGACAGGAUUUUUAUUUUAUAUGGGUGAACUAUUCCUUUAAAGUUUUUAAUACUAAGAUUUACAAUGGCUUAGUAAUGCUGUUUACCC
Megalobrama amblycephala (Wuchang bream) is the source of this 918-nucleotide long non-coding RNA. RefSeq lists it as uncharacterized. The transcript has 3 exons. NCBI's taxonomy places the organism in Eukaryota, Metazoa, Chordata, Actinopteri, Cypriniformes, Xenocyprididae. The record is from RefSeq and is a predicted model, not a curated record.